CAGUAGCCGCGGGAAUACGAAGGGUGCAAGCGUUAAUCGGAAUUACUGGGCGUAAAGCGUGCGUAGGCGGUUUGUUAAGUCUGUUGUGAAAUCCCCGGGCUCAACCUGGGAACGGCAAUGGAUACUGGCAAGCUAGAGUGUGUCAGAGGAUGGUGGAAUUCCCGGUGUAGCGGUGAAAUGCGUAGAGAUCGGGAGGAACAUCAGUGGCGAAGGCGGCCAUCUGGGACAACACUGACGCUGAGGCACGAAAGCGUGGGGAGCAAACAGGAUUAGAGACCCCUGUAGUCCCUGUCUCUUAUAC
Molecule: ribosomal RNA, 301 nt
Filed under: uncultured bacterium
Lineage: Bacteria
Description: partial 16S ribosomal RNA
Rfam family: Bacterial small subunit ribosomal RNA
Source: RNAcentral